Molecule: ribosomal RNA, 274 nt
Filed under: uncultured bacterium
Lineage: Bacteria
Description: partial 16S ribosomal RNA
Rfam family: Bacterial small subunit ribosomal RNA
Source: RNAcentral
AUACGGAGGGUGCAAGCGUUAAUCGGAAUUGCUGGGCGUAAAGCGUACGUAGGCGGUUCGUUAAGUUAGAUGUGAAAGCCCCGGGCUUAACCUGGGAACUGCAUUUAAAACUGGCGAACUAGAGUUGAGUAGAGGGGAGUGGAAUUUCAGGUGUAGCGGUGAAAUGCGUAGAGAUCUGAAGGAACACCAGUGGCGAAGGCGACUCCCUGGACUCAAACUGACGCUGAGGUACGAAAGCGUGGGUAGCAAACGGGAUUAGAAACCCCAGUAGUCC